This 85-nucleotide non-coding RNA is filed under the name Pseudomonas shahriarae. The record is from RNAcentral. Lineage: Bacteria; Pseudomonadati; Pseudomonadota; Gammaproteobacteria; Pseudomonadales; Pseudomonadaceae.
CUUUUUGGCGGCUGUACGUGGGAGGCCUUGUGCCUGCCGGGUUCCUUUUGCCUCGGUUUCCAGCCCGCGUACAGCUGCCACCUUU